GACCACUCCGGUGACCUAAUGGUUAGAGCGUCCUCCUCAAAUGCGGGAGGUCAUGGGUUCGAACCCCGGCCAAGUCA
This is a non-coding RNA of Potamilus streckersoni, 77 nucleotides long. The record is from the annotation of a GenBank genome assembly. Lineage: Eukaryota; Metazoa; Mollusca; Bivalvia; Unionida; Unionidae.